RNAcentral lists this ribosomal RNA (1011 nucleotides) under uncultured bacterium. RNAcentral's name for it is "bacterial SSU rRNA". It matches the Rfam family "Bacterial small subunit ribosomal RNA", at positions 356 to 1376 of the family's 1533-position model. The record is from RNAcentral.
GGGGAAUAUUGCACAAUGGGCGCAAGCCUGAUGCAGCGACGCCGCGUGAGGGAUGGAGGCCUUCGGGUUGUAAACCUCUUUUAUCGGGGAGCAAGCGAGAGUGAGUUUACCCGUUGAAUAAGCACCGGCUAACUACGUGCCAGCAGCCGCGGUAAUACGUAGGGUGCAAGCGUUAUCCGGAAUUAUUGGGCGUAAAGGGCUCGUAGGCGGUUCGUCGCGUCCGGUGUGAAAGUCCAUCGCUUAACGGUGGAUCCGCGCCGGGUACGGGCGGGCUUGAGUGCGGUAGGGGAGACUGGAAUUCCCGGUGUAACGGUGGAAUGUGUAGAUAUCGGGAAGAACACCAAUGGCGAAGGCAGGUCUCUGGGCCGUUACUGACGCUGAGGAGCGAAAGCGUGGGGAGCGAACAGGAUUAGAUACCCUGGUAGUCCACGCCGUAAACGGUGGAUGCUGGAUGUGGGGCCCGUUCCACGGGGUUCCGUGUCGGAGCUAACGCGUUAAGCAUCCCGCCUGGGGAGUACGGCCGCAAGGCUAAAACUCAAAGAAAUUGACGGGGGCCCGCACAAGCGGCGGAGCAUGCGGAUUAAUUCGAUGCAACGCGAAGAACCUUACCUGGGCUUGACAUGUUCCCGACGGUCGUAGAGAUACGGCUUCCCUUCGGGGCGGGUUCACAGGUGGUGCAUGGUCGUCGUCAGCUCGUGUCGUGAGAUGUUGGGUUAAGUCCCGCAACGAGCGCAACCCUCGCCCCGUGUUGCCAGCGGAUUAUGCCGGGAACUCACGGGGGACCGCCGGGGUUAACUCGGAGGAAGGUGGGGAUGACGUCAGAUCAUCAUGCCCCUUACGUCCAGGGCUUCACGCAUGCUACAAUGGCCGGUACAACGGGAUGCGACGCGGCGACGCGGAGCGGAUCCCUGAAAACCGGUCUCAGUUCGGAUCGCAGUCUGCAACUCGACUGCGUGAAGGCGGAGUCGCUAGUAAUCGCGAAUCAGCAACGUCGCGGUGAAUGCGUUCCCG